CCUACGGGGGGCUGCAGUGGGGAAUAUUGGACAAUGGGGGGAACCCUGAUCCAGCCAUGCCGCGUGUGUGAAGAAGGCCCUCGGGUUGUAAAGCACUUUCAGUGAGGAAGAACGCCUGGUGGUUAAUACCCAUCAGGAAAGACAUCACUCACAGAAGAAGCACCGGCUAACUCCGUGCCAGCAGCCGCGGUAAUACGGAGGGUGCGAGCGUUAAUCGGAAUUACUGGGCGUAAAGCGCGCGUAGGUGGCUUGAUAAGCCGGUUGUGAAAGCCCCGGGCUCAACCUGGGAACGGCAUCCGGAACUUUCAAGCUAGAGUGCAGGAGAGGAAGGUAGAAUUCCCGGUGUAGCGGUGAAAUGCGUAGAGAUCGGGAGGAAUACCAGUGGCGAAGGCGGCCUUCUGGACUGACACUGACACUGAGGUGCGAAAGCGUGGGUAGCAAACAGGAUUAGAUACCCUUGUAGUC
This 465-nucleotide ribosomal RNA is filed under the name Vreelandella stevensii. Its description in RNAcentral is "partial 16S ribosomal RNA". It matches the Rfam family "Bacterial small subunit ribosomal RNA", at positions 338 to 795 of the family's 1533-position model. The record is from RNAcentral. Lineage: Bacteria; Pseudomonadati; Pseudomonadota; Gammaproteobacteria; Oceanospirillales; Halomonadaceae.